UACGGGAGGCAGCAGUGGGGAAUAUUGCACAAUGGGCGCAAGCCUGAUGCAGCCAUGCCGCGUGUAUGAAAAAGGCCUUCGGGUUGUAAAGUACUUUCAGUCGUGAGGAAGGUGUUAAGGUUAAUAACCCUAGCAAUUGACGUUAGCGACAGAAGAAGCACCGGCUAACUCCGUGCCAGCAGCCGCGGUAAUACGGAGGGUGCGAGCGUUAAUCGGAAUUACUGGGCGUAAAGGGCACGCAGGCGGUUAAUUAAGUUGGAUGUGAAAUCCCCGGGCUUAACCUGGGAAUGGCAUUCAAGACUGGUUAGCUAGAGUCUUGUAGAGGGGGUAGAAUUCCAUGUGUAGCGGUGAAAUGCGUAGAGAUGUGGAGGAAUACCGGUGGCGAAGGCGGCCCCUGGACAAAGACUGACGCUCAUGUGCGAAAGCGUGGGGAGCAAACAGGGAUUAGAUACC
RNAcentral lists this ribosomal RNA (453 nucleotides) under uncultured bacterium. RNAcentral describes it as "bacterial SSU rRNA". It matches the Rfam family "Bacterial small subunit ribosomal RNA", at positions 340 to 786 of the family's 1533-position model. The record is from RNAcentral.